Molecule: long non-coding RNA, 207 nt
Filed under: Mytilus galloprovincialis (Mediterranean mussel)
Lineage: Eukaryota; Metazoa; Mollusca; Bivalvia; Mytilida; Mytilidae
Source: RNAcentral
UAUUAAUAGGCCUUCCUGGCAAAUAAUCAUGUCGUCUAUGUUAAAAGACAGGCGUUGACUAUUAGCAUCCUUGUACAUGACUAAAAUACUAUCAUCAUUCUACGUUAAUCAUUGUUUGUAAUGUGUUAAUUGGCAAGAAAUACACGUAUCAAUAUAAAAUAGUAUGUUAAUAUUAAUUAUUAAUUAAAUAUAUUAGUUCACAGAAAC